GGUGACAAAGCAUUUAAAAUGCCUCUCUUUUACACUGAGAAGAUCUGUUGUAGUGUCUCCU
This 61-nucleotide transfer RNA is filed under the name Terebratalia transversa. RNAcentral describes it as "tRNA-Val". Lineage: Eukaryota; Metazoa; Brachiopoda; Rhynchonellata; Terebratulida; Laqueidae. The record is from RNAcentral.